RNAcentral lists this ribosomal RNA (478 nucleotides) under uncultured bacterium. RNAcentral describes it as "partial 16S ribosomal RNA". It matches the Rfam family "Bacterial small subunit ribosomal RNA", at positions 28 to 523 of the family's 1533-position model. The record is from RNAcentral.
GACGAACGCUGGCGGCGUGCUUAACACAUGCAAGUCGAACGGUAAGGCCCUUCGGGGUACACGAGUGGCGAACGGGUGAGUAACACGUGGGUGAUCUGCCCUGCACUUCGGGAUAAGCCUGGGAAACUGGGUCUAAUACCGGAUAGGACCACUGCCUGCAGGGGUGGUGGUGGAAAGACUUUGCGGUGGGGGAUGGGCCGGCGGCCUAGCAGCGUGGUGGUGGGGGGAUGGCCUUCCAAGGCGACGACGGGUAGCCGGCCUGAGAGGGUGACCGGCCACACUGGGACUGGGAUACGGCCCAGACUCCUACGGGAGGCAGCAGUGGGGAAUAUUGCACAAUGGGCGCGAGCCUGAUGCAGCGACGCCGCGUGAGGGAUGACGGCCUUCGGGUUGUAAACCUCUUUCAGCACCGACGAAGCGCAAGUGACGGUAGGUGCAGAAGAAGGACCGGCCAACUACGUGCCAGCAGCCGCCGUAA